Molecule: transfer RNA, 87 nt
Filed under: Colletotrichum tofieldiae
Lineage: Eukaryota; Fungi; Ascomycota; Sordariomycetes; Glomerellales; Glomerellaceae
Rfam family: tRNA
About the family: Transfer RNA (tRNA) molecules are approximately 80 nucleotides in length.
Source: Rfam by way of RNAcentral
UCCGAUAUGGUGUAGUGGCCAACAUGAUGCCCUCUCACGUACGUGCGAGGUUAGGCAUAGCCCCGAGUUCGAUUCUCGGUUUCGGAA